Molecule: ribosomal RNA, 292 nt
Filed under: uncultured bacterium
Lineage: Bacteria
Description: partial 16S ribosomal RNA
Rfam family: Bacterial small subunit ribosomal RNA
Source: RNAcentral
CAUCUACGGGGGGCAGCAGUAGGGAAUCUUCCACAAUGGGCGCAAGCCUGAUGGAGCAACACCGCGUGAGUGAAGAAGGGUUUCGGCUCGUAAAGCUCUGUUGUUGGAGAAGAACGUGCGUGAGAGUAACUGUUCACGCAGUGACGGUAUCCAACCAGAAAGGCACGGCUAACUACGUGCCAGCAGCCGCGGUAAUACGUAGGUGGCAAGCGUUAUCCGGAUUUAUUGGGCGUAAAGCGAGCGCAGGCGGUUGCUUAGGGCUGGUGUGAAAACCUUCGGCUUUACCGGAGAA